This 510-nucleotide ribosomal RNA is filed under the name uncultured bacterium. Its description in RNAcentral is "partial 16S ribosomal RNA". It matches the Rfam family "Bacterial small subunit ribosomal RNA", at positions 28 to 507 of the family's 1533-position model. The record is from RNAcentral.
GACGAACGCUGGCGGCGUGCUUAACACAUGCAAGUCGAACGAAGAGCGAUGGAAGCUUGCUUCUAUCAAUCUUAGUGGCGAACGGGUGAGUAACGCGUAAUCAACCUGCCCUUCAGAGGGGGACAACAGUUGGAAACGACUGCUAAUACCGCAUACGAUCCAAUCUCGGCAUCGGGACUGGAUGAAAGGUGGCCUCUAUUUAUAAGCUAUCACUGAAGGAGGGGAUUGCGUCUGAUUAGCUAGUUGGAGGGGUAACGGCCCACCAAGGCGAUGAUCAGUAGCCGGUCUGAGAGGAUGAACGGCCACAUUGGGACUGAGACACGGCCCAGACUCCUACGGGAGGCAGCAGUGGGGAAUCUUCCGCAAUGGACGAAAGUCUGACGGAGCAACGCCGCGUGAGUGAUGACGGCCUUCGGGUUGUAAAGCUCGGUUAAUCGGGACGAAUGGUUCUUGUGCGAAUAGUGCGAGGAUUUGACGGUACCGGAAGAGAAAGCCACGGCUAACUACGUG